RNAcentral lists this ribosomal RNA (395 nucleotides) under Enterococcus faecalis. RNAcentral's name for it is "partial 23S ribosomal RNA". It matches the Rfam family "Bacterial large subunit ribosomal RNA", at positions 1570 to 1978 of the family's 2925-position model. Lineage: Bacteria; Bacillati; Bacillota; Bacilli; Lactobacillales; Enterococcaceae. The record is from RNAcentral.
AGCGAAAUAAUAGUAGCGAAGUUCCUGAUGUCACACUGCCAAGAAAAGCUUCUAGUGAGAAAACAACUGCCCGUACCGUAAACCGACACAGGUAGUCGAGGAGAGUAUCCUAAGGUGAGCGAGCGAACUCUCGUUAAGGAACUCGGCAAAAUGACCCCGUAACUUCGGGAGAAGGGGUGCUGACUUCGGUCAGCCGCAGUGAAUAGGCCCAAGCGACUGUUUAUCAAAAACACAGGUCUCUGCAAAAUCGUAAGAUGAAGUAUAGGGGCUGACGCCUGCCCGGUGCUGGAAGGUUAAGAGGAUGGGUUAGCUUCGGCGAAGCUCAGAAUUGAAGCCCCAGUAAACGGCGGCCGUAACUAUAACGGUCCUAAGGUAGCGAAAUUCCUUGUCGGGUA